CCUACGGGGGGCAGCAGGGAGGAAUAUUGGUCAAUGGCCGGAAGGCUGAACCAGCCAUGCCGCGUGAAGGGCAGGGACCGAGGGGCGGUAAACUUCGUGUGUGCGGGAGCAAGAAUGGGCACGUGUGGCCAGACGAGAGUACCGUACGAAGAAGAAGCGGCUAACUCCGUGCCAGCAGCCGCGGGAAUACGGGGGAUGCAAGCGUUAUCCGGAGUGCUGGGGUUUAAAGGGUGCGGAGGCUGUGAGGUAAGUCAGCGGUGAAAUGCCCCCGCUCAACGGGGUGAAGUGCCAUUGAUACGGCCUUGCUGGCUUGCGGCUGCCGUGGGAGGAAU
RNAcentral lists this ribosomal RNA (332 nucleotides) under uncultured bacterium. RNAcentral describes it as "partial 16S ribosomal RNA". It matches the Rfam family "Bacterial small subunit ribosomal RNA", at positions 338 to 667 of the family's 1533-position model. The record is from RNAcentral.